GGCUCAUCGAGACCGGCCGAGGGACGAGGCCCUUUGACGCCGGGGCAACCGCCGGGCCCAACCAACCCGGAAAGGUGCCAACUCCUGCGGAGGGCUGCGAGCCCGCCGGCAGAUGAGCC
This 119-nucleotide non-coding RNA is filed under the name Gammaproteobacteria bacterium. RNAcentral's name for it is "SAM-I sequence". It matches the Rfam family "SAM riboswitch aptamer (S box leader)". From Rfam's summary of the family: The SAM riboswitch is found upstream of a number of genes which code for proteins involved in methionine or cysteine biosynthesis in Gram-positive bacteria. The SAM riboswitch acts at the level of transcription termination control. The record is from RNAcentral. Lineage: Bacteria; Pseudomonadati; Pseudomonadota; Gammaproteobacteria.